AGCAAGAUAAAAUUUUCUGAGGGGGAGCUUCUUCUCGGAUCACUGGCUCAGACCCAUUAGAUGGGGCAGCCAUGUAACGACCGAGAGCAUGUUUUCUGGGCAAGGGGAAGACUUUUUUAACGUAGGGUCCUACAGAUUCUCUCUCUCUAUCCUUCUAUGUAUAUGUAUAAAUGAGUCGACUUUAGUCAGAAGAGCAAUGGGUAGGAAGGUGGGUGGGCGGGAGCCAGUGGGAAGGGAGAGAGUCGCUAUCGUGGCUAGGCAAAACGGCCUUACCGGUAUCGCAUGUGGAGGUUGAUGACGGAGGUCGGCCGGCGAUAGUGGCAGGGCCUUUAAAAUCUUCGGUUGCCGGCGCAGGGCCGGAGAAGGCCGGGGGCUCCUGCGAUCAGAGAGAGGAAGGUGGGCUCGGCGUCAGCUCAGAUUCCAUGGUCUUCGGCAGGGCCGAGGAGGAGGAGGAGGCCAGACGCCCCCAAGAGGCCAGACCUCCGGCUUUCCUUCUUCCCCGAAGACGAUUAUGCCCGGCCUGCACCUGAGAUUCCUCUUCUGGGUGCUGCUGGCGGCGGCGCGAUCGCCGCCGGGGCUCG
This 581-nucleotide long non-coding RNA is filed under the name Spirodela polyrhiza (greater duckweed). RNAcentral's name for it is "long non-coding RNA (SPOL_LNC002376)". Lineage: Eukaryota; Viridiplantae; Streptophyta; Magnoliopsida; Alismatales; Araceae. The record is from RNAcentral.